AGUACCACGUAAAAAGUAGUGAGGGCGCGCCGAGAGACGACGUCCUACCGUACGUCCUGCUCCCAGAUAAAAAGAGAGAGGCUGCUUUCGACACCCCCCCCCGAGCAGUAGAGAAAGAAGCGUAUUCCAUCUUCUCUUAGUGAGCGCACACACGUCGAGGAAAAUUUAGGAGACCACUGGGGCGAAAGUCCUGAUCCUCAGCACACGCUCGCUAGAAGCGACGCACGUCUUCCGGGUAUGUUAACUUCGGACAGGAAUAGGUAGUAUAAAUGACGGUACUAUUAUAAGGUCCCGGCCUAACCUACGUGCCAGCAGCCGCGCUAAUACGUAGGGACCAAGCGUCGUUCGGAUUUACUGGGCGUAAAGGCCGCGUAGGCGCCAACUCCACGUCAUCUGUGAAAUCUCCGGGCCUUAACUCGGAACCGGUCAGAUGAUACUGCUUUGCUAGAGUGCAGAACGGCAAUCGGAAUUCUUGGUGUAGCGGUGAAAUGCGUAGAUAUCAAGAGGAACACUGAGUUGAAGACGGGUUGCUGGGCUGACACUGACGCUGAGGCGCGAAAGCUAGGGUAGCAAACGGGAUUAGAUACCCCGGUAGUCCUAGCCCUAAACGAUGAAUACUUGGUGUCUGGAGUAUCAAUUCUCCGGGUGCCGUCGCUAACGUUUUAAGUAUUCCGCCUGGGGAGUACGCACGCAAGUGUGAAACUCAAAGGAAUUGACGGGGACCCGCACAAGCGGUGGAGCAUGUGGUUUAAUUCGACGCAACGCGAAGAACCUUACCUAAACUAGAAUGCCUUUGAUCGUUCCCUAAUAGGAAUUUCCUGAGCAAUCAGGCAAAGUGCAAGGUGCUGCAUGGCUGUCGUCAGCUCGUGUCGUGAGAUGUUGGGUUAAGUCCCGCAACGAGCGCAACCCUUAUUGACAGUUGCCAACAGGUAAUGCUGGGAACUCUGUCAAGACUGCCGUUGAUAAAACGGAGGAAGGUGGGGAUGAUGUCAAGUCAUCAUGGCCUUUAUGUUUAGGGCUACACACGUGCUACAAUGGUUGGUACAAAACGUCGCAAUCUCGCAAGAGGGAGCUAAUCGCAAAAACCAAUCUCAGUUCGGAUUGAAGUCUGCAACUCGACUUCAUGAAGUUGGAAUCGCUAGUAAUCGCAGAUCAGAACGCUGCGGUGAAUACGUUCCCGGGUCUUGUACACACCGCCCGUCACAUCACGAAAGUAGGUUGUACUAGAAGUAGCUGGGCUAACUCGCAAGAGAGGCAAGUACCACGGUAUGAUAUAUGGCC
Molecule: ribosomal RNA, 1281 nt
Filed under: uncultured bacterium
Lineage: Bacteria
Description: partial 16S ribosomal RNA
Rfam family: Bacterial small subunit ribosomal RNA (bases 180-1281)
Source: RNAcentral